Molecule: ribosomal RNA, 460 nt
Filed under: uncultured bacterium
Lineage: Bacteria
Description: partial 16S ribosomal RNA
Rfam family: Bacterial small subunit ribosomal RNA
Source: RNAcentral
CCUACGGGAGGCAGCAGUGAGGAAUAUUGGUCAAUGGGCGAGAGCCUGAACCAGCCAAGUCGCGUGAAGGAUGACGGCCCUACGGGUUGUAAACUUCUUUUGUCAGGGAGCAAUUGGGUCCACGCGUGGGCUUAGCGAGAGUACCUGAAGAAAAAGCAUCGGCUAACUCCGUGCCAGCAGCCGCGGUAAUACGGAGGAUGCGAGCGUUAUCCGGAUUUAUGGGGUUUAAAGGGUGCGUAGACGGAAUAUCAAGUCAGCGGUAAAAAUUCGGGGCUCCACCCCGUCGUGCCGUUGAAACUGAUGUUCUUGAGUGGGCGAGAAGUAUGCGGAAUGCGUGGUGUAGCGGUGAAAUGCAUAGAUAUCACGCAGAACUCAGAUUGCGAAGGCAGCAUACCGGCGCCCAACUGACGCUGAAGCACGAAAGCGUGGGUAUCGAACAGGAUUAGAUACCCCAGUAGUC